This is a long non-coding RNA of Dromiciops gliroides (monito del monte), 402 nucleotides long. RefSeq lists it as uncharacterized. Lineage: Eukaryota; Metazoa; Chordata; Mammalia; Microbiotheria; Microbiotheriidae. The record is from RefSeq and is a predicted model, not a curated record. The transcript is spliced from 3 exons.
CAAGGGAGUGAGGUGGACUGUAUGGCCUCAGAGGUUCCUAUGAAGUGGCCUGGGCAGCAUGGAAAACAUAAAGAGCGACAGAUAUGAAGCCAGAAGACCGGGGCUUUAAAUCCUGUGACCAGGUGAUCUCUAAGAUUGGCCGGCUGCCUUACGUGUCAGCCACAAGGCUGGACAAAAGGGGCAGUGAGUGCUGUGUAUGGUUCAUGGACAUUCACUGGGAGAAAACAGUAGGACCAAGGAGAGAGUCUGCCAGGAACCAAGCAGCUCAAGGGGUAAGGAACAGCUGGAUUGAAUUAAGUUGAAUUUCAGUUCUGGCUCAAUAAGCCAUGUCUAGGCACAAACCAAAUCUGGCCUUGGACUGAAAUUUCGAAAGUACUGAAACAUUUUCCCAGUUGACUCACC